This 254-nucleotide ribosomal RNA is filed under the name uncultured bacterium. RNAcentral describes it as "partial 16S ribosomal RNA". It matches the Rfam family "Bacterial small subunit ribosomal RNA", at positions 524 to 776 of the family's 1533-position model. The record is from RNAcentral.
UACGUAGGGGGCGAGCGUUGUCCGGAUUUAUUGGGCGUAAAGAGCUCGUAGGCGGUUCGGUAAGUCAGAUGUAAAAACUCCAGGCUCAACUUGGAGAGGCCAUCUGAUACUGCCGUGACUAGAGUCCGGUAGAGGAGCACGGAAUUCCUGGUGUAGCGGUGAAAUGCGCAGAUAUCAGGAGGAACACCAGCGGCGAAGGCGGUGCUCUGGGCUGGAACUGACGCUGAGGAGCGAAAGCGUGGGGAGCGAACAGG